UACAGGGGGGGGUAAGCGUUGUUCGGAAUUACUGGGCGUAAAGGGCUCGUAGGCGGCCAACUAAGUCAGACGUGAAAUCCCUCAGCUUAACUGGGGAACUGCGUCUGAUACUGGAUGGCUUGGAUUCGGGAGAGGAAUGCGGAAUUCCAGGUGUAGCGGUGAAAUGCGUAGAUAUCUGGAGGAACACCGGUGGCGAAGGCGGCAUUCUGGACCGACAUUGACGCUGAGGAGCGAAAGCCAGGGGAGCAAACGGG
Molecule: ribosomal RNA, 254 nt
Filed under: uncultured bacterium
Lineage: Bacteria
Description: partial 16S ribosomal RNA
Rfam family: Bacterial small subunit ribosomal RNA
Source: RNAcentral